CUGGUGCUCACGAGGAAGCGGCAGGUGACGUGGGGCUGGGGCGCGUCGCUGACCGCAGGGGAGGACGUGGGGUGGCGCUUGCACACAGGGCAGGGGGGUGAGAGUGACGGCAAGGAGGACUUGAGAGUGUGUUAGGCCGACGCCUGAUCAUCGUUCCCCGGUGUCUGCUUCCCGUUGGGCUGACACUCUUCUUGGCACGCGCAGCCCUGGAUGCCUCUUGGUUCCGAGAUUGAGGCGAUUUCCAGGCAGCAGAAGAGCCCUUCUCGCCAAGGCUCCAUCGGGGGCAGGAAUCCGCCCCGGAGCCUCGGCCGUUGUGACAGCCAUGCCGCUCACAUGGGGUACCAGGAUUUCUGGUUUAAAAAGGGACGCGUCCAGGGCCGCCUGCGGGGCUCAGUCAGCUGAGCAUCUGACUCUUGAUUUCGGCUCAGGUCACGAUCUCGCAGUUCAUGGGUUCGAGCCCCAUGUCGGGCUCUGCGCUGAUGGCACAGAGCCUACUUGGGUUCUCUCUCUCUCUCUCUCUCUCUCUCUCUCUCUCUCUCUGCCUCUCCCCUGCUCAUGCUCUUUCUCUCAAAAUAAAAAAUAAAUUAAAAAAAAAAGCAAAGUGGGGGGAUGCAUCGCACCUCUCUCCCUGCUGGCAAAUAAAAGAAAGCAACUGGCCUCGACUCUGACCUUUUGACAGUCCAUCGGGAAAAAUGAGGUUGCAGAAAUAAGCGUGCACCCACCGUGAUGGCCAUAAUGAUGACAAUGAAGAAGGAGCACUGUUGGUGGGAACAUAGAGGGACUCGAAUGCUGCUGGUGGGCGUGGAAAGCAAUACAGUCGCUGUGGAAACUAGUCCCGUGGCUCCUCAGAAAGGGAUCCACAGAGCUACCACAUGACCCACCCAUUCCACUCAAGGCAUCCUCAGAGCAGAGCUGAGGACACGUGUCCACGGACGCUGGUGCACAACGCUCAGUGUUACCUAACAGCCAAAAGGUGGGCUCAGCCCGAAUGCAGAUCAACCACCAAAUGGGACAGGCAACGUGGCUUCUCCGUGCACUCCAGUGUCGCCCACAGGGAGGAGUGAGGUGCUCCUACCUGGAGGAGCCUUGGAAACAUUACGAUAAGUGAAUGAAGGCAGGUACUUUGCAGGUCUGUCGUGUGAUUCCGUGAAUGUGAAAAAUCGGGAACAGGCAACUCGCCGGAGACAGAAAGUAGAUGCGUGGUUAACAGGGUCUGGGGGAAGAAGAAAUGUGCGACCGCUGUGAACAUGCACGGUUUCCCCUGGCAGGGAGGAUGGAAGUGCUCCAGGAUUAGGUGGUGGUGAUGGUCACACGACCACACGAAGACACUAAGAACCACUCAACAGUACACAUUAAAAUGGUCAAGAUUACGGUGUUUGAAUUACCCUUCUGUACAAUAAAGAAAUCAAGUCGGGGGAAACGAGCGUGCAGAAGUCAUACAGUUUAACGACGUGGGAUAAUCCUGUUCUCGUCUGUAGAGUGGGAAACGGAGCUUCUCCGUGGACGGAGGAGACGUGCUCAGCAGGGCAGUGGGGACUGUGACUGUGCCAGACGUAGGCGUGCCAGACGUGAGAUGGAGGAUGUGCACGCCCACUGCUGGCAAGAAUUAUACACACCCGAUGACAUUAAACAGAAAGUUAUGAGUCCAUCGUUAGGGGAGGCAUUUCUGGUGUCAGCAUUUUUUGAAAUACGUGAGCACAUCUGGAUCCUCUGAUCAUAAACAACUCCUCUCUGAAAACCGUCUUUAAAGAGCCUUUCUUCUUCAGGAAAGGAGUCAGAACUCUUUUUCGACUGACAUUUGGAGAGAAGAUGUUGAACUAAAAAUUCCUAAUGUAUCUAUCUUUGAUUUUGUUUCAUAGCCUUACAGUUCCCUUUGCUGACUUUGACUCCCCUUAGCGUUUAAUUUUAAUACGCCCACUUGUGUUAAUUGCAGGUCCGUGUGUGUGCAAGUACAUGUGUGUGAGUGUGUGUCACUGUAAGUCUGUGCGUGCAUCUGUGUGUAUGCAUGUGUAUACAUGUGCACAAGUGUGACUGUAAGUGCACGUGUGGGGGGAGUGCAUUGCACGUCUGCAUGUAACUGUAGUGUGUGUGCACAUGCACGUGUGUGUACAUGCGUGUGUGUGCAUGUAUGCAGGAGAGCCAUGUGUGCAUUGGAGUGAUGUGUGUGUAAGUGCGCGUGUGUGUGAAUAAGUCUAUGACUGUGUGUGUAUGUGUGUGUAAAUCCGUGUGUGUAAGUACAUGUGUGUGAGUGCGUGUGUGUGAGCAGUGUGGGGGGGGAAGGUGUUUGGAACACAAUAGAGAGAGUCCGAGAUUAAGAGAAACAAUUGGAGUGACCACAGAAUAUACGUCAAGUGCUUUGAAAUCAUUACCCAUGAAGUGCUGCGUUACUAUGAGUUACUAUUUCCAGGCUGUUCCACACAAUUUUUUAGCAUGACUGUGUGACUUGCAAAUAGAAGGGCCUGUGGGCGCUUGGGUGCCUCAGUCGGUUAAGCAUCUGACCCUUGAUUUUGGCUCAGGUCACGAUCUCACAGUUCGUGAGUCGGAGCUCCGCAGCGGUCUUGGUGCUGACGGCAUGGAGCCUGCCUAGGAUUCUGUCUCUCCUUCUCUCUCUGCCCCUCCCCGACCAGCACACACCAGCAAAAUGAAUAAACUUAAUUUUUUUUUUUUUUUACAGAUGAGGGUAUGCUUAAAAGGAAAGACGAAAUGGUAUAAAGACAAAUAGAGGGGAAGAGAGACCAGGAAAGCGGAGAGCCAUCGAUGCAAAGCAUCUUGACCCCUGCGUGUUUCUCUCAGGUCACAGACUUCACAGCAAGCGAUAGAGAGUCAAGGACAUGCAGAAAUGGGUUUCAUUCACUGCAGUAAGAACAGGGAAACAAGUUCACGGCAAAGGCAAUAAAAAUCUGGUUUCAAUGCUGAAUGUCAAAAACAAGGUGAUGUUGCUUGCUUGUUCUGAGUAUUGAGGAACUGUGACGUCUCCUUACACUUUUGUAAUGAGAUUUCCUACCGCUAAUCUAGAAUCCAUCCAGCAGCAGCACAGCUUGAAUUUCCUCCUAAUAGAGACAUUUUCAGAAUUUACCAGGUUAUGGAGAGUUCAAACGUGGUCAGGCUUUCAAUCAAGAAUUCCUAAUUCAAAUCCUGCUGUCCACUGACACGCGCUAAUGGGGAUCAUUACAUCCUUGCAAAGCAGGCCGGAGCUCUGCGGCGUAAUCGGCUUAUCCCUCCGCCAUCUGGCCAGAGUGCCCACCACCGGCUCGGGGCCGCAGGGGCGCCUGA
Molecule: long non-coding RNA, 3273 nt
Filed under: Lynx pardinus (Iberian lynx)
Lineage: Eukaryota; Metazoa; Chordata; Mammalia; Carnivora; Felidae
Source: RNAcentral